RNAcentral lists this ribosomal RNA (642 nucleotides) under uncultured Alphaproteobacteria bacterium. Its description in RNAcentral is "bacterial SSU rRNA". It matches the Rfam family "Bacterial small subunit ribosomal RNA", at positions 8 to 660 of the family's 1533-position model. The record is from RNAcentral. Lineage: Bacteria; Pseudomonadati; Pseudomonadota; Alphaproteobacteria.
AGAGUUUGAUCCUGGCUCAGGACGAACGCUGGCGGCGUGGAUUAGGCAUGCAAGUCGAGCGGGUAAAUGAGGUCUUCGGACCGAAACCAAGCGGCGAACGGGUGAGUAACACGUGAGGAAUCUGCCCCUUCAUUCCGGAUAAUAGUUGGAAACGACUUGUAAUACGGGGGAGGCUCUACUUAAGGCAUCUUAGGUAGAACAAACGAGCAAUCGGUGUGGGGAUGAUCUCGCGGCUUAUCAGGUAGAUGGUGGGGUAACGGCCUACCAUGCCUACGACGAGUAGCUGGUCUGAGAGGAUGGUCAGCCACAUUGGAACUGAGACACUGUCCAGACUCCUACGGGAGGCUGCAGUCGAGAAUCUUGGUCAAUGCACGAAAGUGUGAACCAGCGACGCCGCGUGCAGGAUGAAGGCCCUCAGGGUCGUAAACUGCUUUUAUGGGGGAGAAAUAAAUGAUGUUACCCCAUGAAUAAGCCACGGCUAACUACGUGCCAGCAGCCGCGGUAAUACGUAGGUGGCAAGCGUUGUCCGGAUUUACUGGGCGUAAAGGGCAAGCAGGCGGACUGUUAAGUAGGAAGUGAAAGGUCGGAGCUCAACUCCAACAUUGCUUCCUAUACUGGCAGUCUUGAGUCUCGGAGAGGAAA